GUCAACGAUGAUGCAUACAUGUCAACUAUGGGUGUUGGCUCCAACAAUUCGCAUUGGUCCCAAACCAAUGACAUGCAUUUUGAAGACCAUGAGUUCGAGGUGGACGAGGAUGGUGAGGGCAUUGUCGACGCGCCGAAAGGAAGAGCGGGCAAUUACACCAACACUGAUGACAUCUUACUAUGCAAUACUUGGUUGCAAGUGUCGAUGGAUCCAUCCGUUGGAGGUGAUCAAAGUAGAGAUGCUUAUUAGGGGCGGAUGAAAGAACACUUUGAUGUUCAUAACGUGAGUGGAAUUGACCGCUUCGAGAGAUCAUUUCGGUCCCGGUGGUCGACAAUCAACUCGAAUUGUCAAAGGUGGGUGGCCUGUCAAAAGGCGUGA
RNAcentral lists this ribosomal RNA (378 nucleotides) under Triticum aestivum (bread wheat). RNAcentral describes it as "partial small subunit ribosomal RNA". The record is from RNAcentral. Lineage: Eukaryota; Viridiplantae; Streptophyta; Magnoliopsida; Poales; Poaceae.